CAAUAGCGUAUAUUUAAGUUGCUGCAGUUAAAAAGCUCGUAGUUGGAUUUCGGGUGGGAAUGGCCGGUCCGCCGUUUCGGUGUGCACUUGCUACGCCCACCUUGCUGCCGGGGACGUGCUCUUGAGUUCACGCUCGGGACACGGAGUCGGCGAGGUUACUUUGAGUAAAUUAGAGUGUUCAAAGCAGGCCUACGCUCUGAAUACAUUAGCAUGGAAUAACACGAUAGGACUCUGGCCUAUCUUGUUGGUCUGAAGGACCGGAGUAAUGAUUAAGAGGGACAGUCGGGGGCAUUCGUAUUUCAUUGUCAGAGGUGAAAUUCUUGGAUUUAUGAAAGACGAACUACUGCGAAAGCAUUUGCCAAGGAUGUUUUCAUUAA
RNAcentral lists this ribosomal RNA (377 nucleotides) under uncultured eukaryote. RNAcentral describes it as "partial 18S ribosomal RNA". It matches the Rfam family "Eukaryotic small subunit ribosomal RNA", at positions 592 to 976 of the family's 1831-position model. The record is from RNAcentral.